CUCUUCUCCACGUGCAAGACUUAGGGCUCAUGCACAGGCAGGCUGGGGCAGCAUGGAUGCUCGGGCGAGCCAGGACUCCAGGAUCAGGUGAAGGAGGAUUCUCAUUCCAAUGCAACACCACAGAAAGCAGAGAUGUCCUGAAGCACCUAACCCUACCAUUUGCAAAACUAGUGCUUUAAGGGCGAGAACCCAGCAGUGUGGAGCCACUGCAGGAAGGACACAGCUUUCACCCAUCUGGCAGAAGAGGUGGCGGACAGUCCCCAGAUCCUUCAGCUGAUGCUGUUUUCUCCUCUCCUUCAACUUCUGUUUUUCCCAGUGUUACACAUUACAUUUCUGAAGCAUAUGAUGAAUGGGAUGCUGUGCAGCUGAAAAAUCACACAUCUCAAAUGGCUCACUUGGCUCUCCCAUACUAAGCUGACUGCCUGAGUUGCAGCUCUCUGACAAGGGGAAUGGUUGCUUUACUCUCAAAAUACGGUAAGUCUUAAAUAUAAC
RNAcentral lists this long non-coding RNA (492 nucleotides) under Gallus gallus (chicken). Its description in RNAcentral is "long non-coding RNA NONGGAT009231". The record is from RNAcentral. Lineage: Eukaryota; Metazoa; Chordata; Aves; Galliformes; Phasianidae.